AGAGUUUGAUCCUGGCUCAGGAUGAACGCUAGCGGCAAGCCUAAUACAUGCAAGUCGAACGAGACUUGGUAGCAACAUCAAGUUUAGUGGCGCACGGGUGCGUAGCACGUAUGCAAUCUACCCUUUACUUAGGAAUAGCCCGGAGAAAUUCGGAUUAAUACCUAAUGAGAAGUAAUUGUGGCAUCACAGAUAUUUUAAAGAUUUAUCGGUAAAGGAUGAGCAUGCGGUUGAUUAGCUAGUUGGUGAGGUAAUGGCUCACCAAGGCGACGAUCAAUAGGGGUUCUGAGAGGAAGAUCCCCCACGCUGGCACUGAGAUACGGGCCAGACUCCUACGGGAGGCAGCAGUAGGGAAUAUUGGGCAAUGGUCGCGAGACUGACCCAGCCAUGCCGCGUGAAGGAAGAAGGCUUUCUGAGUUGUAAACUUCUUUUAUCUGGGAAUAAAAUACCCUUGCGAGGGGAACUGAAGGUACCAGAUGAAUAAGCACCGGCUAACUCCGUGCCAGCAGCCGCGGUAAUACGGAGGGUGCAAGCGUUGUCCGGAUUUAUUGGGUUUAAAGGGUGCGUAGGCGGUUCUAUAAGUCAGUGUUUAAAGUCUGCAGCUUAACUGUAGGAAUGGCAUUGAUACUGUAGAACUUGAGUAAAGUUGAGGUAGACAGAAUUGAUGGUGUAGCGGUGAAAUGCAUAGAUAUCAUCAAGAAUACCGAUUGCGAAGGCAGUUUACUAAACUUUAACUGACGCUGAGGCACGAAAGUGUGGGGAUCAAACAGGAUUAGAUACCCCCGUAGUCC
This 788-nucleotide ribosomal RNA is filed under the name uncultured Sphingobacteriales bacterium. RNAcentral describes it as "bacterial SSU rRNA". It matches the Rfam family "Bacterial small subunit ribosomal RNA", at positions 8 to 796 of the family's 1533-position model. The record is from RNAcentral. Lineage: Bacteria; Pseudomonadati; Bacteroidota; Sphingobacteriia; Sphingobacteriales.